Molecule: long non-coding RNA, 320 nt
Organism: Platichthys flesus (European flounder)
Lineage: Eukaryota; Metazoa; Chordata; Actinopteri; Pleuronectiformes; Pleuronectidae
Exons: 2
Source: RefSeq, a predicted model, not a curated record
UGCCGGUAUUUAAGUUCAUGAAUGAAAAGGUUAAAAUGUAACUGAUACAGGCAGUAUUUGUAUUAUUCGCUUCUUGAGGCGGAACUAAUGUGCUUUGUUCGUAGCCCCGGGGGCCAAGAUCACUGUGACACUGCAAACGGCAGGUGCACGGUGCGCGUUUUGUCACCAAAGCUAUAAAACUUGUAAUGCACAUCAAAACCUCUUUUUACGGCAAGCGGCCAACGAGUUCUCACGGCGUAACGUGUAAAGCGUGAUGGUGUUGAUAAGAUGGAGAGGGAGAGAGGAGACAUGCCACCGCAAUAAACGCCCGUUCAAAGGAA